UUUGUCAUCGGGGGUAUUAUGA
This 22-nucleotide microRNA is filed under the name Drosophila ananassae. RNAcentral describes it as "Dan-Mir-959-v2_3p* (star (passenger))". RNAcentral also lists the same sequence under 3 other names. Lineage: Eukaryota; Metazoa; Arthropoda; Insecta; Diptera; Drosophilidae. The record is from RNAcentral.